GUUUUGGUGACCGAGACUAAGGUGAAAGAUUUUUGAUCUUUUUACAGGAAUCACGAUUCCUCCAAAACA
RNAcentral lists this transfer RNA (69 nucleotides) under Hypselodoris bullockii. Its description in RNAcentral is "tRNA-Lys". The record is from RNAcentral. Lineage: Eukaryota; Metazoa; Mollusca; Gastropoda; Nudibranchia; Chromodorididae.